GAUGAAGAACGUAGCGAAAUGCGAUAAGUAAUGUGAAUUGCAGAAUUCAGUGAAUCAUCGAAUCUUUGAACGCACAUUGUGCCCGCUAGUAUUCUGGCGGGCAUGCCUGUCCGAGCGUCAUUUCAACCCUCAAGCCCCCGGGCUUGGUGUUGGGGAUCGGCGAGCCUCCGCGCCCGCCGUCCCCUAAAUCUAGUGGCGGUCUCGCUGUAGCUUCCUCUGCGUAGUAGCACACCUCGCACUGGGAAACAGCGCGGCCACGCCGUUAAACCCCCAACUUCUGAACGUUUGACCUCGGAUCAGGUAGGAAUACCCGCUGAACUUAAGCAUAUCAAUAAGCGGAGGA
RNAcentral lists this unclassified non-coding RNA (343 nucleotides) under soil metagenome. RNAcentral's name for it is "partial contains 5.8S ribosomal RNA, internal transcribed spacer 2, and large subunit ribosomal RNA". The stretch from base 1 to 120 matches the Rfam family "5.8S ribosomal RNA", at positions 35 to 154 of the family's 154-position model. The record is from RNAcentral.